Molecule: unclassified non-coding RNA, 128 nt
Filed under: uncultured fungus
Lineage: Eukaryota; Fungi
Description: sequence contains ITS1
Source: RNAcentral
ACAAGUUUUGUGGGUGGUAAUUGUGAAGUGGCCGAUGUAAGCGUUAGCGCGAGUCGUUUGGCAAGUGUUAACGAGCGUUUGGCAGCUGUAUGCAAAUGAUGUAGUCUACACACAACAACAAUCAUAUA